UAAGGUAGUAGAUUGUAUAGUU
Molecule: non-coding RNA, 22 nt
Filed under: Mus musculus (house mouse)
Lineage: Eukaryota; Metazoa; Chordata; Mammalia; Rodentia; Muridae
Also listed under: 1 other name
Source: RNAcentral